RNAcentral lists this ribosomal RNA (484 nucleotides) under uncultured bacterium. Its description in RNAcentral is "partial 16S ribosomal RNA". It matches the Rfam family "Bacterial small subunit ribosomal RNA", at positions 30 to 507 of the family's 1533-position model. The record is from RNAcentral.
AUUGAACGCUGGCGGCAGGCCUAACACAUGCAAGUCGAGCGGAUGAAGGGAGCUUGCUCCUGGAUUCAGCGGCGGACGGGUGAGUAAUGCCUAGGAAUCUGCCUGGUAGUGGGGGAUAACGUCCGGAAACGGGCGCUAAUACCGCAUACGUCCUGAGGGAGAAAGUGGGGGAUCUUCGGACCUCACGCUAUCAGAUGAGCCUAGGUCGGAUUAGCUAGUUGGUGGGGUAAAGGCCUACCAAGGCGACGAUCCGUAACUGGUCUGAGAGGAUGAUCAGUCAAACUGGAACUGAGACGCGGUCCAGACUCCUACGGGAGGCAGCAGUGGGGAAUAUUGGACAUUUGGCGAAGGCCUGAUCCAGCCAUGCCGCGUGUGUGAAGAAGGUCUUCGGAUUGUAAAGCACUUUAAGUUGGGAGGAAGGGCAGUAAGUUAAUACCUUGCUGUUUUGACGUUACCAACAGAAUAAGCACCGGCUAACUUCGUG